GAUGAACGCUAGCGACAGGCUUAACACAUGCAAGUCGAGGGGCAGCAGGGGAGUAGCAAUACUCCCGCUGGCGACCGGCGCACGGGUGAGUAACACGUAUGCAACCUGCCCUUGUCAGGGGGAUAAGCGGAAGAAAUUCCGUCUAAUACCGCAUAACGCUGCGGGGAGACAUCUCCCUGCAGCCAAAGAUUUAUCGGACAAGGAUGGGCAUGCGGCGCAUUAGCUUGUUGGCGGGGUAACGGCCCACCAAGGCGACGAUGCGUAGGGGUUCUGAGAGGAAGGUCCCCCACACUGGUACUGAGACACGGACCAGACUCCUACGGGAGGCAGCAGUGAGGAAUAUUGGUCAAUGGCCGGGAGGCUGAACCAGCCAAGUCGCGUGAGGGAAGACGGUCCUAUGGAUUGUAAACCUCUUUUGUCAGGGAGCAAAAACUGCCACGCGUGGCAGGAUGAGAGUACCUGAAGAAAAAGCAUCGGCUAACUCCGUGCCAGCAGCCGCGGUAAUACGGAGGAUGCGAGCGUUAUCCGGAUUUAUUGGGUUUAAAGGGUGCGUAGGCGGACAGUUAAGUCAGCGGUAAAAUUGAGAGGCUCAACCUCUUCCCGCCGUUGAAACUGAUUGUCUUGAGUGGGCGGGAAGUAUGCGGAAUGCGUGGUGUAGCGGUGAAAUGCAUAGAUAUCACGCAGAACUCCGAUUGCGAAGGCAGCAUACCGGCGCCCAACUGACGCUGAAGCACGAAAGCGUGGGUAUCGAACAGGAUUAGAUACCCUGGUAGUCCACGCAGUAAACGAUGAAUACUAAUUGUUCGGGUCGAGUGAGAUCUGAGUGAUACAGCGAAAGCGUUAAGUAUUCCACCUGGGGAGUACGCCGGCAACGGUGAAACUCAAAGGAAUUGACGGGGGCCCGCACAAGCGGAGGAACAUGUGGUUUAAUUCGAUGAUACGCGAGGAACCUUACCCGGGCUCAAACGACACAGGAAUGAUCUGAGAAAUCAGGCAGUCCUUCGGGACCUGUGUCGAGGUGCUGCAUGGUUGUCGUCAGCUCGUGCCGUGAGGUGUCGGCUUAAGUGCCAUAACGAGCGCAACCCCCAUCGACAGUUGCCAGCAGGUCAAGCUGGGCACUCUGUCGAGACUGCCGGCGCAAGCUGUGAGGAAGGCGGGGAUGACGUCAAAUCAGCACGGCCCUUACGUCCGGGGCGACACACGUGUUACAAUGGCAGGUACAGCGGGAAGCCACCUGGCGACAGGGAGCGGAACCCGAAAGCCUGUCUCAGUUCGGAUUGGAGUCUGCAACUCGACUCCAUGAAGCUGGAUUCGCUAGUAAUCGCGCAUCAGCCACGGCGCGGUGAAUACGUUCCCGGGCCU
This 1362-nucleotide ribosomal RNA is filed under the name uncultured bacterium. Its description in RNAcentral is "16S ribosomal RNA". It matches the Rfam family "Bacterial small subunit ribosomal RNA", at positions 28 to 1381 of the family's 1533-position model. The record is from RNAcentral.